UACGUAGGGCGCAAGCGUUGUCCGGAUUUAUUGGGCGUAAAGAGCGUGUAGGCGGCCUGACAGGUCUGCUGUGAAAACUCGAGGCUCAACCUCGAGAUGUCGGCGGAAACCGUCUGGCUAGAGUCCGGAAGAGGAGAGUGGAAUUCCUGGUGUAGCGGUGAAAUGCGCAGAUAUCAGGAAGAACACCUAUGGCGAAGGCAGCUCUCUGGGACGGUACUGACGCUGAGACGCGAAAGCGUGGGGAGCGAACAGG
RNAcentral lists this ribosomal RNA (253 nucleotides) under uncultured bacterium. RNAcentral's name for it is "partial 16S ribosomal RNA". It matches the Rfam family "Bacterial small subunit ribosomal RNA", at positions 524 to 776 of the family's 1533-position model. The record is from RNAcentral.